GCUUUCGUGGUGUAACGGUAGCGCACUCGGCACUUAAUCGAGAGGUCCAGGUUCGAGUCCCGGCGACGACA
RNAcentral lists this transfer RNA (71 nucleotides) under Stegodyphus mimosarum. It matches the Rfam family "tRNA". Rfam says of the family: Transfer RNA (tRNA) molecules are approximately 80 nucleotides in length. Their secondary structure includes four short double-helical elements and three loops (D, anti-codon, and T loops). Lineage: Eukaryota; Metazoa; Arthropoda; Arachnida; Araneae; Eresidae. The record is from Rfam by way of RNAcentral.